GACGAACGCUGGCGGCGUGCUUAACACAUGCAAGUCGAACGGAAAGGCCCUGCUUUUGUGGGGUGCUCGAGUGGCGAACGGGUGAGUAACACGUGAGUAACCUGCCCUUGACUUUGGGAUAACUUCAGGAAACUGGGGCUAAUACCGGAUAGGAGCUCCUGCUGCAUGGUGGGGGUUGGAAAGUUUCGGCGGUUGGGGAUGGACUCGCGGCUUAUCAGCUUGUUGGUGGGGCAGUGGCUUACCAAGGCUUUGACGGGUAGCCGGCCUGAGAGGGUGACCGGCCACAGUGGGACUGAGAUACGGCCCAGACUCCUACGGGAGGCAGCAGUGGGGAAUAUUGCACAAUGGGCGGAAGCCUGAUGCAGCAACGCCGCGUGCGGGAUGACGGCCUUCGGGUUGUAAACCGCUUUCGCCUGUGACGAAGCGUGAGUGACGGUAAUGGGUAAAGAAGCACCGGCUAACUACGUG
RNAcentral lists this ribosomal RNA (468 nucleotides) under uncultured bacterium. RNAcentral describes it as "partial 16S ribosomal RNA". It matches the Rfam family "Bacterial small subunit ribosomal RNA", at positions 28 to 507 of the family's 1533-position model. The record is from RNAcentral.